GAUGAACGCUGGCGGCGUGCCUAAUACAUGCAAGUCGAGCGAACGGACGAGAAGCUUGCUUCUCUGAUGUUAGCGGCGGACGGGUGAGUAACACGUGGAUAACCUACCUAUAAGACUGGGAUAACUUCGGGAAACCGGAGCUAAUACCGGAUAAUCUUUUGAACCGCAUGGUUCAAAAGUGAAAGACGGUCUUGCUGUCACUUAUAGAUGGAUCCGCGCUGCAUUAGCUAGUUGGUAAGGUAACGGCUUAUCAAGGCAACGAUGCAUAGCCGACCUGAGAGGGGGAUAGGCCACACUGGAACUGAGACACGGUCCAGAGUCCUACGGGAGGCAGCAGUCGGGAAUCGUCCGCAGUGGGCGAGAGCCUGACGGAGCAACGCGGAGUGAGUGGUGAAGGUGUUCGGAUCGUAAAACUCUGUUAUUAGGGAAGAACAUAUGUGUAAGUAACUGUGGAGAUCUUGACGGUACCUAAUCAGAAAGCCACGGCUAACUACGUG
RNAcentral lists this ribosomal RNA (497 nucleotides) under uncultured bacterium. Its description in RNAcentral is "partial 16S ribosomal RNA". It matches the Rfam family "Bacterial small subunit ribosomal RNA", at positions 28 to 507 of the family's 1533-position model. The record is from RNAcentral.